This 460-nucleotide long non-coding RNA is filed under the name Cricetulus griseus (Chinese hamster). Its description in RNAcentral is "lncRNA (ENSCGRG00000026529.1)". Lineage: Eukaryota; Metazoa; Chordata; Mammalia; Rodentia; Cricetidae. The record is from RNAcentral.
CUGAGAAAGAAUUUUGAACGUGGCUUGCAUCACUUCUAAAUAUAAGUACUUGUAACUGAAAAGUAUGAUGCUAUGUGUUCUUCAGUCUUCCACAUGCUGAUCACUUACUGCUGUGGAACAGGUUCCUCUAUGGGGUCCUGCUCUUGAGAGCUGAGGAGAAGAGGCAGGAGUUAAGAAACAGCCAAUGGGGUUGUGUGCUGGGAGGACCACGCCCCAGGCGUCUGCCACGUGUGCCAGCAGCAGCUGGGAGAGGUAGCGGUGCGCACGCUCAUCCCAGUGGACGCCAUCACUCAGCCGGUGCUGCCCUGCAUGGCGGAAGUGGAAGUGGAGAUCCAGCACGUCGAAGCCACGCCUCACUGCCUCUGCUGAGCUGUAGAAGUUGGCCUCUAUCACGUCUUCGCGCAGGCGUGAAGGGCAGGCCGGGGCAUCAGGCAGGACAAAGCCCCCGGAUACGACUUCG